This 351-nucleotide ribosomal RNA is filed under the name uncultured Planctomycetota bacterium. RNAcentral's name for it is "bacterial SSU rRNA". It matches the Rfam family "Bacterial small subunit ribosomal RNA", at positions 46 to 382 of the family's 1533-position model. Lineage: Bacteria; Pseudomonadati; Planctomycetota. The record is from RNAcentral.
GGAUUAGGCAUGCAAGUCGAACGAGGGAAUAUUCUUCGGAAUAUAAAUCGAGUGGCGAAAGGGUGAGUAAUGCAUAGAUGACAUACCUUUAGGAUAAGAAUAGCUUUGUGAAAACGGAGAUAAUGCUUAAUAAUUACGAAGUAAAAUCAAUUUUCUUCGUCAAAGGGGGGGCAGCAAUGCCUCUUGCCUAGAGAGUGGUUUAUGUCCUAUCAGCUAGUUGGUGGGGUAAUGGCCUACCAAGGCUAAGACGGGUAGCCGGCCUUAGAGGGUGGUCGGCCACACUGGGACUGAGACACUGCCCAGACUUCUACGGAAGGCUGCAGUCGAGAAUCUUUCGCAAUGCCCGAAAGG